GACGAACGCUGGCGGCGUGCUUAACACAUGCAAGUCGAACGGUAAGGCCCUUCGGGGUACACGAGUGGCGAACGGGUGAGUAACACGCGGGUCCUCUGCCCUGCACUUCGGGAUAAGCCUGGGAAACUGGGGCUAAUACCGGCUAGGACCACUUCCUGCAUGGGUGGUGGUGGAAAGCUUUUGCGGUGUGGGAUGGGCCCGCGGCCUAUCCGCUUGUUGGUGGGGUGAUGGCCUACCAAGGCGACGACGGGUAGCCGGCCGGAGAGGGUGACCGGCCACACUGGGACUGAGAUACGGCCCAGACUCCUACGGGAGGCAGCAGUGGGGAAUAUUGCACAAUGGGCGCAAGCCUGAUGCAGCGACGCCGCGUGAGGGAUGACGGCCUUCGGGUUGUAAACCUCUUUCAGCACCGACGAAGCGCAAGUGACGGUAGGUGCAGAAGAAGGACCGGCCAACUACGUGCCAGCCGCCGCGGUAA
This 478-nucleotide ribosomal RNA is filed under the name uncultured bacterium. Its description in RNAcentral is "partial 16S ribosomal RNA". It matches the Rfam family "Bacterial small subunit ribosomal RNA", at positions 28 to 523 of the family's 1533-position model. The record is from RNAcentral.